GCUGGGUGAGGUGGGCACACCUGGAAUCCAAGCUAUUUGGGAAGCUGAGGCAGGAGGAUCCCGAGUUUGAGGCCAGCUUGGGCAACUUAGCAAGACCUGCCUCAA
This 105-nucleotide small RNA is filed under the name Marmota monax (woodchuck). The record is from RNAcentral. Lineage: Eukaryota; Metazoa; Chordata; Mammalia; Rodentia; Sciuridae.